GGGUAUAUAGCUCAGUGGUAAAGCAUAUGACUGCAGAACAAGAGGUCGAUGAUUCAACUCCAGGUGCCCU
This is a non-coding RNA of Albula glossodonta (roundjaw bonefish), 70 nucleotides long. The record is from the annotation of a GenBank genome assembly. NCBI's taxonomy places the organism in Eukaryota, Metazoa, Chordata, Actinopteri, Albuliformes, Albulidae.